RNAcentral lists this ribosomal RNA (497 nucleotides) under uncultured bacterium. Its description in RNAcentral is "partial 16S ribosomal RNA". It matches the Rfam family "Bacterial small subunit ribosomal RNA", at positions 28 to 507 of the family's 1533-position model. The record is from RNAcentral.
GAUGAACGCUGGCGGCGUGCCUAAUACAUGCAAGUCGAGCGAACGGACGAGAAGCUUGCUUCUCUGAUGUUAGCGGCGGACGGGUGAGUAACACGUGGAUAACCUACCUAUAAGACUGGGAUAACUUCGGGAAACCGGGGCUAAUACCGGAUAAUAUUUUGAACCGCAUGGUUCAAAAGUGAAAGGCGGUCUUGCUGUCACUUAUAGAUGGAUCCGCGCUGCAUUAGCUAGUUGGUAAGGUAACGGCUUACCAAGGCAACGAUGCAUAGCCGACCUGAGAGGGUGAUCGGCCAAACGGGAACUGAGACACGGUCCAGACUCCUACGGGAGGCAGCAGUAGGGAAUCUUCCGCAAUGGGCGAAAGCCUGACGGAGCAACGCCGCGUGAGUGAUGAAGUUCUUCGGAUCGUAAAACUCUGUUAUUAGGGAAGAACAUAUGUGUAAGUAACUGUGCACAUCUUGACGGUACCUAAUCAGAAAGCCACGGCUAAGUACGUG